RNAcentral lists this ribosomal RNA (265 nucleotides) under uncultured bacterium. Its description in RNAcentral is "partial 16S ribosomal RNA". It matches the Rfam family "Bacterial small subunit ribosomal RNA", at positions 333 to 615 of the family's 1533-position model. The record is from RNAcentral.
GAUUCCCUACGGGGCGCAGCAGUGGGGGAUAUUGCACAAUGGGGGGAACCCUGAUGCAGCGACGCCGCGUGGGGGAAGAAGCGCCUCGGCGCGUAAAGCCCUGUCAGCAGGGAAGAAAAUGACGGUACCUGAAGAAGAAGCCCCGGCUAACUACGUGCCAGCAGCCGCGGUAAUACGUAGGGGGCAAGCGUUAUCCGGAUUUACUGGGUGUAAAGGGGGCGGAGACGGCGAUGCAAGCCAGGAGUGAAAGCCCGGGGCCCAGCCC